Non-coding RNA from Vicugna pacos (alpaca), 442 nucleotides. NCBI's taxonomy places the organism in Eukaryota, Metazoa, Chordata, Mammalia, Artiodactyla, Camelidae. The record is from RefSeq and is a predicted model, not a curated record.
ACACAAGCAGGGCUGAUUCCCUCCCAGGUCCUAUUUUUAAAAUUUUCUUCCAGAAAACAGUACUUUCUGAAAAAGUGACUGUUGAAGAAAAGUGGUAUGAACCUGGCAGAAGCCCAGCUCAUACUCCACAUCCUUGACCCAAGAAAGAGAAGAGUAAAUAUCAAAACCAAUGUUGGGUGAUAUAUUCCCAAGGGAUAUGUGGCUUCAUCUUGAGCAAGUUCUCUGACAGAGUACCAGCAGCAGAGGGAAGGAAAGCUUGGGGAGUCUCAAACUUGCAGUUCAAAGUUUCAGCAGGAAAAUGGAAACAGAACCUGAGGACAGACAACUUGCCAGGUCACAUAACAAGGAAAUGAAAGAAGUUGACUUGUUAUUAAAGAAACAAACAUGAUAUGCAAGACUCGGACAUUGUGCUGUACACCAGAGACUGAUACAUUGUAAUUGA